AGUCAGAGGCGAUGAAGGACGUGCUAAUCUGCGAUAAGCGUCGGUAAGGUGAUAUGAACCGUUAUAACCGGCGAUUUCCGAAUGGGGAAACCCAGUGUGUUUCGACACACUAUCAUUAACUGAAUCCAUAGGUUAAUGAGGCGAACCGGGGGAACUGAAACAUCUAAGUACCCCGAGGAAAAGAAAUCAACCGAGAUUCCCCCAGUAGCGGCGAGCGAACGGGGAGCAGCCCAGAGCCUGAAUCAGUGUGUGUGUUAGUGGAAGCGUCUGGAAAGGCGCGCGAUACAGGGUGACAGCCCCGUACACAAAAAUGCACAUGCUGUGAGCUCGAUGAGUAGGGCGGGACACGUGGUAUCCUGUCUGAAUAUGGGGGGACCAUCCUCCAAGGCUAAAUACUCCUGACUGACCGAUAGUGAACCAGUACCGUGAGGGAAAGGCGAAAAGAACCCCGGCGAGGGGAGUGAAAAAGAACCUGAAACCGUGUACGUACAAGCAGUGGGAGCACGCUUAGGCGUGUGACUGCGUACCUUUUGUAUAAUGGGUCAGCGACUUAUAUUCUGUAGCAAGGUUAACCGAAUAGGGGAGCCGAAGGGAAACCGAGUCUUAACUGGGCGUUAAGUUGCAGGGUAUAGACCCGAAACCCGGUGAUCUAGCCAUGGGCAGGUUGAAGGUUGGGUAACACUAACUGGAGGACCGAACCGACUAAUGUUGAAAAAUUAGCGGAUGACUUGUGGCUGGGGGUGAAAGGCCAAUCAAACCGGGAGAUAGCUGGUUCUCCCCGAAAGCUAUUUAGGUAGCGCCUCGUGAAUUCAUCUCCGGGGGUAGAGCACUGUUUCGGCAAGGGGGUCAUCCCGACUUACCAACCCGAUGCAAACUGCGAAUACCGGAGAAUGUUAUCACGGGAGACACACGGCGGGUGCUAACGUCCGUCGUGAAGAGGGAAACAACCCAGACCGCCAGCUAAGGUCCCAAAGUCAUGGUUAAGUGGGAAACGAUGUGGGAAGGCCCAGACAGCCAGGAUGUUGGCUUAGAAGCAGCCAUCAUUUAAAGAAAGCGUAAUAGCUCACUGGUCGAGUCGGCCUGCGCGGAAGAUGUAACGGGGCUAAACCAUGCACCGAAGCUGCGGCAGCGACGCUGAUGCGUUGUUGGGUAGGGGAGCGUUCUGUAAGCCUGCGAAGGUGUGCUGUGAGGCAUGCUGGAGGUAUCAGAAGUGCGAAUGCUGACAUAAGUAACGAUAAAGCGGGUGAAAAGCCCGCUCGCCGGAAGACCAAGGGUUCCUGUCCAACGUUAAUCGGGGCAGGGUGAGUCGACCCCUAAGGCGAGGCCGAAAGGCGUAGUCGAUGGGAAACAGGUUAAUAUUCCUGUACUUGGUGUUACUGCGAAGGGGGGACGGAGAAGGCUAUGUUGGCCGGGCGACGGUUGUCCCGGUUUAAGCGUGUAGGCUGGUUUUCCAGGCAAAUCCGGAAAAUCAAGGCUGAGGCGUGAUGACGAGGCACUACGGUGCUGAAGCAACAAAUGCCCUGCUUCCAGGAAAAGCCUCUAAGCAUCAGGUAACAUCAAAUCGUACCCCAAACCGACACAGGUGGUCAGGUAGAGAAUACCAAGGCGCUUGAGAGAACUCGGGUGAAGGAACUAGGCAAAAUGGUGCCGUAACUUCGGGAGAAGGCACGCUGAUAUGUAGGUGAGGUCCCUCGCGGAUGGAGCUGAAAUCAGUCGAAGAUACCAGCUGGCUGCAACUGUUUAUUAAAAACACAGCACUGUGCAAACACGAAAGUGGACGUAUACGGUGUGACGCCUGCCCGGUGCCGGAAGGUUAAUUGAUGGGGUUAGCGCAAGCGAAGCUCUUGAUCGAAGCCCCGGUAAACGGCGGCCGUAACUAUAACGGUCCUAAGGUAGCGAAAUUCCUUGUCGGGUAAGUUCCGACCUGCACGAAUGGCGUAAUGAUGGCCAGGCUGUCUCCACCCGAGACUCAGUGAAAUUGAACUCGCUGUGAAGAUGCAGUGUACCCGCGGCAAGACGGAAAGACCCCGUGAACCUUUACUAUAGCUUGACACUGAACAUUGAGCCUUGAUGUGUAGGAUAGGUGGGAGGCUUUGAAGUGUGGACGCCAGUCUGCAUGGAGCCGACCUUGAAAUACCACCCUUUAAUGUUUGAUGUUCUAACGUUGACCCGUAAUCCGGGUUGCGGACAGUGUCUGGUGGGUAGUUUGACUGGGGCGGUCUCCUCCUAAAGAGUAACGGAGGAGCACGAAGGUUGGCUAAUCCUGGUCGGACAUCAGGAGGUUAGUGCAAUGGCAUAAGCCAGCUUGACUGCGAGCGUGACGGCGCGAGCAGGUGCGAAAGCAGGUCAUAGUGAUCCGGUGGUUCUGAAUGGAAGGGCCAUCGCUCAACGGAUAAAAGGUACUCCGGGGAUAACAGGCUGAUACCGCCCAAGAGUUCAUAUCGACGGCGGUGUUUGGCACCUCGAUGUCGGCUCAUCACAUCCUGGGGCUGAAGUAGGUCCCAAGGGUAUGGCUGUUCGCCAUUUAAAGUGGUACGCGAGCUGGGUUUAGAACGUCGUGAGACAGUUCGGUCCCUAUCUGCCGUGGGCGCUGGAGAACUGAGGGGGGCUGCUCCUAGUACGAGAGGACCGGAGUGGACGCAUCACUGGUGUUCGGGUUGUCAUGCCAAUGGCACUGCCCGGUAGCUAAAUGCGGAAGAGAUAAGUGCUGAAAGCAUCUAAGCACGAAACUUGCCCCGAGAUGAGUUCUCCCUGACUCCUUGAGAGUCCUGAAGGAACGUUGAAGACGACGACGUUGAUAGGCCGGGUGUGUAAGCGCAGCGAUGCGUUGAGCUAACCGGUACUAAUGAACCGUGAGGCUUAACCUU
RNAcentral lists this ribosomal RNA (2867 nucleotides) under Escherichia coli 2-011-08_S3_C3. RNAcentral describes it as "bacterial LSU rRNA". It matches the Rfam family "Bacterial large subunit ribosomal RNA". Lineage: Bacteria; Pseudomonadati; Pseudomonadota; Gammaproteobacteria; Enterobacterales; Enterobacteriaceae. The record is from RNAcentral.